RNAcentral lists this ribosomal RNA (274 nucleotides) under uncultured bacterium. RNAcentral's name for it is "partial 16S ribosomal RNA". It matches the Rfam family "Bacterial small subunit ribosomal RNA", at positions 523 to 796 of the family's 1533-position model. The record is from RNAcentral.
AUACGGAGGGUGCAAGCGUUAUUCGGAAUCACUGGGCGUAAAGGACGCGUAGGCGGGUUGGCAAGUCAGAUGGGGAAUCCUACAGCUUAACUGUAGAACUGCAUUUGAAACUGCUAACCUAGAGUAUGGGAGGGGGAGAUGGAAUUAGUGGUGUAGGAGUAAAAUCCGUAGAUAUCACUAGGAAUACCGAAAGCGAAGGCGAUCUCCUGGAACAUAACUGACGCUAAGGCGUGAAAGCGUGGGGAGCAAACAGGAUUAGAUACCCUAGUAGUCC